RNAcentral lists this ribosomal RNA (381 nucleotides) under Priestia megaterium. RNAcentral describes it as "bacterial SSU rRNA". It matches the Rfam family "Bacterial small subunit ribosomal RNA", at positions 1 to 370 of the family's 1533-position model. The record is from RNAcentral. Lineage: Bacteria; Bacillati; Bacillota; Bacilli; Caryophanales; Bacillaceae.
UCUUCGGAGAGUUUGAUCCUGGCUCAGGAUGAACGCUGGCGGCGUGCCUAAUACAUGCAAGUCGAGCGAACGUCAUAGAAGCUUGCUUCUAUGACGUUAGCGGCGGACGGGUGAGUAACACGUGGGCAACCUGCCUGUAAGACUGGGAUAACUUCGGGAAACCGAAGCUAAUACCGGAUAGGAUCUUCUCCUUCAUGGGGGAUGAUUGAAAGAUGGUUUCGGCUAUCACUUACAGAUGGGCCCGCGGUGCAUUAGCUAGUUGGUGAGGUAACGGCUCACCAAGGCAACGAUGCAUAGCCGACCUGAGAGGGUGAUCGGCCACACUGGGACUGAGACACGGCCCAGACUCCUACGGGAGGCAGCAGUAGGGAAUCUUCCGCA